Molecule: ribosomal RNA, 412 nt
Filed under: uncultured Prevotellaceae bacterium
Lineage: Bacteria; Pseudomonadati; Bacteroidota; Bacteroidia; Bacteroidales; Prevotellaceae
Description: bacterial SSU rRNA
Rfam family: Bacterial small subunit ribosomal RNA
Source: RNAcentral
UGAGGAAUAUUGGUCAAUGGUCGCGAGACUGAACCAGCCAAGUAGCGUGCAGGAUGACGGCCCUCUGGGUUGUAAACUGCUUUUAGUUGGGAAUAAAAGGCGGUACGUGUACCGCGUAUUGUAUGUACCAUCAGAAAAAGGACCGGCUAAUUCCGUGCCAGCAGCCGCGGUAAUACGGAAGGUCCGGGCGUUAUCCGGAUUUAUUGGGUUUAAAGGGAGCGUAGGCGGAUUUUUAAGUCAGUUGUGAAAGUUUGAGGCUCAACCUUAAAAUUGCAGUUGAAACUGGAAGUCUUGAGUGCACGCAGAGGUGCCGGAAUUCAUGGUGUAGCGGUGAAAUGCGUAGAUAUUAGGAGGAACACCAGUGGCGAAGGCGGCUUACUGGACGAUCACUGACGCUGAGGCUCGAAAGUGU